GUGCCAGCUGGCAAGAGUGUGUCUGACUCUAUUCUUUUGAAGCUGAAGACAGGAUUGAAUGCUUCUGAAGAAUCCAGGGAGUUCCCAUCUGACCUUGUGUACUCCUUUGCUACGGAGUCAAUAAAACGUCUGCUACAGCAGAUUGUCUUCUGGCUUCCUCCACCAUCACAAGGAUCCGAUUUCUGCCAAACUAUCAUCUCUGAUGGUUCUCUGCAGGAAACAAGUCAGCUUAUCCCAAACUCUUCUGCCACCUCCAUUAGUUCCACACAGGUUUACUGUGACACAAAGAGCCUUUUCACCAAUAUAAUGGUCAAUCAGGUCAUGGAUACCUGUUCUGUGGCCUCCAAUUCAUCAGAAGAAUUAUCAGAGUUGAUGAACAUAAUCAAUGGGUUGUCCCCAACUGAUGCUGGAACACUUGACUCUGACAGACCGGCUCUCAUGACCACUAGCCGUCAGUCUAGUGCCAAAUCAUUUCCUAAACCCUCUCUGUCUGGCAGCAGCACACACAAUGGUGGAACUGUGCAUAUUCAAGUUUUAGGAGAGGUGGAAUCCAAGAUGGACAACAAAGAUCUGGAGAUGUCUAGUGCCUCUGUGCAUCCAUCAACUACAUCAGCCAUGGACUCUGAUACACAUGCAUUAUUUGACUCCACUAGCAAUGACUACACCUCUUUGGUACUUUUACUGAUUGUUAGAUUGCUGUCAAUGAUCACCCCUAUCACAUUACUGGAAUCCUCCGACAUUGGUGAAACAUCAAGAGUUCUCACAAAGAGGAUUCUGUCUGAGUUCUGUGGCACCUCAGGCCCUGAACAAACUCAAGCCUACCCCCAGAAUCUGAAAAUCAAAGAGAUUUUCAAGGCUGUCUACAUGGGGCUUCUUCAAGAAUUCGGGUCAGAGAAGAUGCUCCAGGUUGCAAUGAAGUCAACGGAUUAUGCAUUUGACGAUGCCCUGGUCAAAUCAUUAACUAGGGAACUACUAGCUAAAUGCAAUGAGGCUAGCUCUUCACCUCCCUCCAUGACCCAGUUGUCAUCACACAAUGCACUUGGCAGUGACGAGGUAGGUAAUUCUGGGCUUCCAACAACUGGUAGAAAGGAAAAGAAGAGAGGAAGAUUCAGCGCUCUCUGUGGACUCAACCCAAAGUGUACAAAGAAGGUCAACAAGAAGAACCACUGCACUCCAACACCUUCCCAGAACCAGACCCCUGCCGUCAGUGAAACAGCAAUUGUCAAUGAUCAAGAAUCCUGCCGAACAGAGAGUGUAUGCUCCACCAAGAAGAAACCAAGGAAGCGUUCGCUCAUUUCCAGGAUGUUUUCAGCUAUAGGCAAAGCCUUGUCCAGUCCAGUUUUCUGUUCUCUCUGCUACUGCACACCACUCAUUCAUGUAUAAGUCCCAAAAUGGAUGUAACAAAUGCUGAUUGCCCCUUUAAGACUACAUAUUGGGCU
This is a long non-coding RNA of Oncorhynchus masou masou (cherry salmon), 1439 nucleotides long. RefSeq lists it as uncharacterized. The record is from RefSeq and is a predicted model, not a curated record. The transcript is spliced from 3 exons. Lineage: Eukaryota; Metazoa; Chordata; Actinopteri; Salmoniformes; Salmonidae.